GUGAGGAAUAUUGCGCAAUGGAGGAAACUCUGACGCAGCCACGCCGCGUGCAGGAUGACACCCCUAUGGGGCGUAAACUGCUUUUAUACGAGAAGAACGCCUGGUUCUGCCAGGUUUGACGGUACCGUAUGAAUAAGCACCGGCUAACUCCGUGCCAGCAGCCGCGGUAAUACGGAGGGUGCAAGCGUUGUCCGGAAUCACUGGGUGUAAAGGGUGUGUAGGCGGACCUGUAAGUCAGAAGUGAAAUCCCACGGCUCAACCGUGGAACUGCUUUUGAUACUGCAGGUCUUGAGUAUCGGAGAGGUUGCUAGAAUUCGUGGUGUAGCGGUGAAAUGCGUAGAUAUCACGAGGAAUACCAGAGGCGUAGGCGGGCAACUGGACGAUUACUGACGCUGAGGCACGAAAGCGUGGGGAGCAAACAGG
RNAcentral lists this ribosomal RNA (423 nucleotides) under uncultured bacterium. RNAcentral's name for it is "bacterial SSU rRNA". It matches the Rfam family "Bacterial small subunit ribosomal RNA", at positions 354 to 776 of the family's 1533-position model. The record is from RNAcentral.